Small nucleolar RNA from Diceros bicornis minor, 102 nucleotides. RefSeq annotates it as small nucleolar RNA U13. NCBI's taxonomy places the organism in Eukaryota, Metazoa, Chordata, Mammalia, Perissodactyla, Rhinocerotidae. The transcript has a single exon. The record is from RefSeq and is a predicted model, not a curated record.
AUCCCUUGUGGUUCAUAGCUUGAUGAUUAGGUUUUCACGCUAUUGUGUGAGAUGUGCCUCCCUCAAAUCUUGUUACAAUGUCAGCACUUUACUCCUUUGAUG